AACAGGAUUAGAUACCCUGGUAGUCCACGCCCUAAACGAUGAUAACUAGCCGUUGGUCCCUCGGGGCUAGUGGCGAAGCUAACGCGCUAAGUUAUCCGCCUGGGGAGUACGGCCGCAAGGUUAAAACUCAAAUGAAUUGACGGGGGCCCGCACAAGCGGUGGAGCAUGUGGUUUAAUUCGAUGCAACGCGAAGAACCUUACCAUCCUUUGACAUCCUCAGAAUCCUGUAGAGAUACGGGAGUGCCGAAAGGAACUGAGUGACAGGUGCUGCAUGGCUGUCGUCAGCUCGUGUCGUGAGAUGUUGGGUUAAGUCCCGCAACGAGCGCAACCCUUAUCCUUAGUUGCCAGCAUUAAGUUGGGGACUCUAGGGAGACUGCCGGUGAUAAGCCGGAGGAAGGUAGGGACGACGUCAAGUCAUCAUGGCCGGGGGGGGAUGGGCUACACACGUGCUACAAUGGCCGGUACAGAGGGCGGCGAAGGGGUGACCUGGAGCAAAUCCUUUAAAGCCGGUCGUAGUCCGGAUUGCAGUCUGCAACUCGACUGCAUGAAGUCGGAAUCGCUAGUAAUCGCAGAUCAGAAUGCUGCGGUGAAUACGUUCCCGGGCCUUGUACACACCGCCCGUCACACCAUGGGAGUGGAUUGCACCAGAGGUGGCUAGGCUAACUACGGAGGCCGGUCACCAUCGGUGUGCUUCAUGACUGGGGUGAAGUCGUAACAAAGUAAACC
RNAcentral lists this ribosomal RNA (726 nucleotides) under uncultured bacterium. Its description in RNAcentral is "bacterial SSU rRNA". It matches the Rfam family "Bacterial small subunit ribosomal RNA", at positions 771 to 1502 of the family's 1533-position model. The record is from RNAcentral.